Molecule: ribosomal RNA, 1064 nt
Filed under: Escherichia coli
Lineage: Bacteria; Pseudomonadati; Pseudomonadota; Gammaproteobacteria; Enterobacterales; Enterobacteriaceae
Description: partial 23S ribosomal RNA
Rfam family: Bacterial large subunit ribosomal RNA
Source: RNAcentral
GUUAAGCGACUAAGCGUACACGGUGGAUGCCCUGGCAGUCAGAGGCGAUGAAGGACGUGCUAAUCUGCGAUAAGCGUCGGUAAGGUGAUAUGAACCGUUAUAACCGGCGAUUUCCGAAUGGGGAAACCCAGUGUGUUUCGACACACUAUCAUUAACUGAAUCCAUAGGUUAAUGAGGCGAACCGGGGGAACUGAAACAUCUAAGUACCCCGAGGAAAAGAAAUCAACCGAGAUUCCCCCAGUAGCGGCGAGCGAACGGGGAGCAGCCCAGAGCCUGAAUCAGUGUGUGUGUUAGUGGAAGCGUCUGGAAAGGCGCGCGAUACAGGGUGACAGCCCCGUACACAAAAAUGCACAUGCUGUGAGCUCGAUGAGUAGGGCGGGACACGUGGUAUCCUGUCUGAAUAUGGGGGGACCAUCCUCCAAGGCUAAAUACUCCUGACUGACCGAUAGUGAACCAGUACCGUGAGGGAAAGGCGAAAAGAACCCCGGCGAGGGGAGUGAAAAAGAACCUGAAACCGUGUACGUACAAGCAGUGGGAGCACGCUUAGGCGUGUGACUGCGUACCUUUUGUAUAAUGGGUCAGCGACUUAUAUUCUGUAGCAAGGUUAACCGAAUAGGGGAGCCGAAGGGAAACCGAGUCUUAACUGGGCGUUAAGUUGCAGGGUAUAGACCCGAAACCCGGUGAUCUAGCCAUGGGCAGGUUGAAGGUUGGGUAACACUAACUGGAGGACCGAACCGACUAAUGUUGAAAAAUUAGCGGAUGACUUGUGGCUGGGGGUGAAAGGCCAAUCAAACCGGGAGAUAGCUGGUUCUCCCCGAAAGCUAUUUAGGUAGCGCCUCGUGAAUUCAUCUCCGGGGGUAGAGCACUGUUUCGGCAAGGGGGUCAUCCCGACUUACCAACCCGAUGCAAACUGCGAAUACCGGAGAAUGUUAUCACGGGAGACACACGGCGGGUGCUAACGUCCGUCGUGAAGAGGGAAACAACCCAGACCGCCAGCUAAGGUCCCAAAGUCAUGGUUAAGUGGGAAACGAUGUGGGAAGGCCCAGACAGCCAGGAUGUUGGCU